CUUGGACUUGUUGCCCAAGUCAUCUGGGAGGCAGCUGGCCAUCUACGUCUGAAGUGCAGGAGUGAAGUCUAAAGGGAGACUCAGACCCCGGGAAUAUCUCCGGAGCCAUCAGCUGAAGCCCCAGGAGAGGAUGAGAUUAUCUGGGAAGGCAUAUAGAGUGGGAAGAGGGUGAACCCUCCAGUAAAUGGCGUUGAGUCCCUCAUGUUUCCCUGUCCUUAGUGUGCCGUGAAGUCCUUCCCAGUCCUUCCCUCACAUGAAGCCUUUCUCGUUUUAUUUUACUCCCUUCGUGUCUCCCAACUUCCUUCUCUCAACCAUGGACAGCUGCUCAAGCACACUUAACAUGUGUUCUGAUGUGUUCACUUAGAUGUAUUUGUACCCUCAAAAUCGCAUGCUGGCCGUGGUGCUGUGUGUGAUUUGCGUAAGUGAUGUUCCACUCUGCGUCUCAUCUGUCUCUGGCUCUCUUCAGCUUUAACCCUAUC
Molecule: long non-coding RNA, 479 nt
Filed under: Homo sapiens (human)
Lineage: Eukaryota; Metazoa; Chordata; Mammalia; Primates; Hominidae
Description: long non-coding RNA NONHSAT240136
Source: RNAcentral